Molecule: ribosomal RNA, 561 nt
Filed under: Bacillus sp. (in: firmicutes)
Lineage: Bacteria; Bacillati; Bacillota; Bacilli; Caryophanales; Bacillaceae
Description: bacterial SSU rRNA
Rfam family: Bacterial small subunit ribosomal RNA
Source: RNAcentral
GUAAGUCCACGCCGUAAACGAUGAGUGCUAAGUGUUAGAGGGUUUUCCCCCCUUUAGUGCUGAAGUUAACGCAUUAAGCACUCCGCCUGGGGAGUACGGCCGCAAGGCUGAAACUCAAAGGAAUUGACGGGGGCCCGCACAAGCGGUGGAGCAUGUGGUUUAAUUUGAAGCAACGCGAAGAACCUUACCAGGUCUUGACAUCCUCUGAAAACCCUAGAGAUAGGGCUUCUCCUUCGGGAGCAGAGUGACAGGUGGUGCAUGGUUGUCGUCAGCUCGUGUCGUGAGAUGUUGGGUUAAGUCCCGCAACGAGCGCAACCCUUGAUUUUAGUUGCCAUCAUUAAGUUGGGCACUCUAAGGUGACUGCCGGUGACAAACCGGAGGAAGGUGGGGAUGACGUCAAAUCAUCAUGCCCCUUAUGACCUGGGCUACACACGUGUUACAAUGGACGGUACAAAGAGCUGCAAGACCGCGAGGUGGAGCUAAUCUCAUAAAACCGUUCUCAGUUCGGAUUGUAGGCUGCAACUCGCCUACAUGAAGCUGGAAUCGCUAGUAAUCGCGGAU